Symphalangus syndactylus (siamang) is the source of this 380-nucleotide long non-coding RNA. RefSeq lists it as uncharacterized. The record is from RefSeq and is a predicted model, not a curated record. Lineage: Eukaryota; Metazoa; Chordata; Mammalia; Primates; Hylobatidae.
CAGAACCCUCUGGAUUUAAUUUGGUACAAAUUACACUUGGCAUUUCCUCCAAGAAAUUCAGCAGACAUUCUGCUUUGGGAAUCUGUAGAAAACUGUCUGAUUCAAUUUCCUUGGAAUUUUAGAUCACUGUUAAGCUCCUGGGAUCAGAGGCCAGAUGGAUUUCUUGUCUAAAUGAAGAGAAGCAGCUCUUCCCCAUGGAUGACCAUCAAAAAUCAUAAGGUGUUUCAGGAUGUCACGGUCUUUGAUGUCUUCUUCUCAAGCAAGUUAUCAAUGGUGGGUCUGAGAAGCAUAUAUCAAAAUCAUUUGGGCAACUUUUUCAAACUACAGUUAACUUACUCCAGAAAUGUUAAUGUGGCUCUGAGAGCUGAGGACAAGUGAUU